RNAcentral lists this non-coding RNA (23 nucleotides) under Arabidopsis thaliana (thale cress). The record is from RNAcentral. Lineage: Eukaryota; Viridiplantae; Streptophyta; Magnoliopsida; Brassicales; Brassicaceae.
UCGAAGUGAUUAUGUCCUAAUCA